GCGCAGUUGGCGCAAUGGAUAGCGCAUAGUCCUCCUAUUUACCAAGAUUCAGGGCUUUUCUCCAACGAGAUUUGUCUCUUUGGUUAUAUAGUGAAAGACUGGGGUUGCGGGUUCGAGUCCCGUGCUGCGUG
Camillea tinctor is the source of this 131-nucleotide non-coding RNA. The record is from the annotation of a GenBank genome assembly. NCBI's taxonomy places the organism in Eukaryota, Fungi, Ascomycota, Sordariomycetes, Xylariales, Graphostromataceae.